RNAcentral lists this ribosomal RNA (459 nucleotides) under uncultured bacterium. RNAcentral's name for it is "partial 16S ribosomal RNA". It matches the Rfam family "Bacterial small subunit ribosomal RNA", at positions 338 to 795 of the family's 1533-position model. The record is from RNAcentral.
CCUACGGGUGGCAGCAGUGAGGAAUAUUGGUCAAUGGACGGAAGUCUGAACCAGCCAUGCCGCGUGCAGGAAGACGGCUCUAUGAGUUGUAAACUGCUUUUGUACAAGGGUAAACCUGAAUACGUGUAUUCAGCUGAAAGUACUGUACGAAUAAGGAUCGGCUAACUCCGUGCCAGCAGCCGCGGUAAUACGGAGGAUGCGAGCGUUAUCCGGAUUUAUUGGGUUUAAAGGGUGCGUAGGCGGAUCGUUAAGUCAGUGGUCAAAUUGAGGGGCUCAACCCCUUCCCGCCAUUGAAACUGGCGCUCUUGAGUGGAAGAGAAGUAUGCGGAAUGCGUGGUGUAGCGGUGAAAUGCAUAGAUAUCACGCAGAACCCCGAUUGCGAAGGCAGCAUGCCGGCUUCCGACUGACGCUGAAGCACGAAAGCGUGGGGAUCGAACAGGAUUAGAUACCCGGGUAGUC